AAUAAUUUUUUUAAAAAAUAAUAAAUUAUACAUUACUCAAAAAAAAAAACUACGGACAAUCAUUAUUUUUAUAAUUUUUUAUUAAAAUAGUAAAUCAUUUAUCGUCUUUUUAAACAUUAUCUGUUAAAAUUUUUUAGAUUGUUAAUAUUAUAUGUGAUUUGUUUAUUAGGAUUAUAUAUAUAUAUAUAAUAUUAAAAAAAAAAGAUGGUUAGAGUUGUACGUAAAUUAUUAGAAUUUUUGUUUGGUUGUUAGUAUUGUAUAAAUAGAUUUUUAGAAUUUUUAAAUUAUUAAUAUUAUAUGUAAUUUGUUGUUAUAUGACGGUUAGAGUUAUAUAUGAAAAAUAGAAAAGAACAGCAAAUCAUUCACUUUUUAUAUAUUAAGAAAAAAAUAUUGAAUGAUUCAUCGUUAUUUAAAAAAAAUUAAAAAAUAAUAAAUCAUUUAUCGGCUUUAAAAUGAAUUU
This 460-nucleotide long non-coding RNA is filed under the name Ananas comosus (pineapple). RNAcentral describes it as "long non-coding RNA (ACOM_LNC003169)". Lineage: Eukaryota; Viridiplantae; Streptophyta; Magnoliopsida; Poales; Bromeliaceae. The record is from RNAcentral.